UAGGCAACAGUAGAAAAGAAUCAAGGAGCUCAGCGAGAGAGAAAGAGAAUUAGGACCUCGAAAGAACUUCUUCCAGCACUGUUGCCUUCCCCAUUUUAUAGUAGAGCGCGGCAUGGCACCGUCAUUAAUGGCGCGGACAAUGGGAGAGUUGUCAAAUCGCCAGAGGCCGUAAGAGUUGCCGCGGACUGUCAAGUCGCCGUGGGCUUGUCAUAUCACUGGGAUUAAUCUAUGUCCUUGGCAGGACAAUGUCCCAGGGCGGCUGUGCCGCAUGCCUUUGUCAGAAC
Molecule: long non-coding RNA, 284 nt
Filed under: Elaeis guineensis (African oil palm)
Lineage: Eukaryota; Viridiplantae; Streptophyta; Magnoliopsida; Arecales; Arecaceae
Description: long non-coding RNA (EGUI_LNC073272)
Source: RNAcentral